UACAGGGGGGGCAAGCGUUGUUCGGAAUUACUGGGCGUAAAGGGUUCGUAGGUGGCUCACUAAGUCACACGUGAAAUCCCUCAGCUUAACUGGGGAACUGCGUGUGAAACUGGAGAGCUUGAGGGUAGGAGAGGAAUGCGGAAUUCCAGGUGUAGCGGUGAAAUGCGUAGAUAUCUGGAGGAACACCGGUGGCGAAGGCGGCAUUCUGGACUAUUUCUGACACUGAUGAACGAAAGCCAGGGGAGCAAACGGGAUUAGAUACCCCGGUAGUCCUGGCCCUAAACGAUGAAUGCUUGGUGUGGCGGGUAUCGAUCCCUGCCGUGCCGCAGUUAACGCGUUAAGCAUUCCGCCUGGGGAGUACGGUCGCAAGGCUGAA
Molecule: ribosomal RNA, 376 nt
Filed under: uncultured bacterium
Lineage: Bacteria
Description: bacterial SSU rRNA
Rfam family: Bacterial small subunit ribosomal RNA
Source: RNAcentral